This 481-nucleotide ribosomal RNA is filed under the name uncultured bacterium. RNAcentral's name for it is "partial 16S ribosomal RNA". It matches the Rfam family "Bacterial small subunit ribosomal RNA", at positions 28 to 523 of the family's 1533-position model. The record is from RNAcentral.
GACGAACGCUGGCGGCGUGCUUAACACAUGCAAGUCGAACGGUGAAAGGGAGCUUGCUCCCUGGAUCAGUGGCGAACGGGUGAGUAACACGUGGGCAACCUGCCCCAGACUUCGGGAUAACGCUUCGAAAGAGGUGCUAAUACCGGAUACGAACUCCUUGGCCAUCCUUGGCGCUGGAAAGUUUUUCGGUCUGGGAUGGGCCCGCGGCCUAUCAGCUUGUUGGUGAGGUAACGGCUCACCAAGGCGACGACGGGUAGCCGGCCUGAGAGGGCGACCGGCCACGCUGGGACUGAGACACGGCCCAGACUCCUACGGGAGGCAGCAGUGGGGAAUAUUGCGCAAUGGGCGAAAGCCUGACGCAGCAACGCCGCGUGAGGGAUGACGGCCUUCGGGUUGUAAACCUCUUUCAGCAGGGAAGAAGCGAAAGUGACGGUACCUGCAGAAGAAGCACCGGCUAACUACGUGCCAGCCGCCGCCGUAA